UAUUCAGUGAAAUAGGAUAUCAGGAUAUCAUUGGUCAGAAAACUUUACACUUUUUAUUAUCUCAGGGAUUUAAAAAAUUUUUCAGUUAUUCUAGGUACUUGGGAUAGAUCAGUUGAACAAAACAGACAAAAAAUCCAUCUUCUAUUGGGGAAGACAGACACAAAAAGAUAAACAUACCAAAUAAUAAAUUGUAAAGAUUGUUGCAAAGUUUGAAGCGUCAUGGGAAGAAUAGAAAAAGAGUGAAUUAGGAAGAAUUGAGAGUUGGGAUUGGGGCAAUUGGUCAGGCCAAGCAUCACUGUUAAGGUAAGAUUUGAGCAAGGAGUUAAAAGAGGUGAAGGUGAACACUGGGAAAGAAUGUUCCUGGCAGAAGGAAUGGCUCUUGAAAAUGUCCUAAGCAGUAGUCUAGUCUGCAAUAUUGAAGCGACAACGGGCAGUUGGAGUUGAAGUCAGAGAGGUAAAGGGACAGGGCAAUUCCAGGGCUUCGUAGGUCACUGUGAAGACCUUAGCUUUUAUAAAGAAUGAAAUAGGAACCCACUGGAGGAUUUUGACCAGAUGAGACAGGAGCUGACUUUUCUUGUAAGAGGAUAUUCUUGCUGUUGUUUUGACAGUAGGCUGAGUUAACGGUGAGCACGGAGACCAUUUAGUACGCCACUGAAGUAUAAUCCAGCCCAGAGAAGAUGGAAGUAAUGCAGGUAAGAAGUGGUCUGAUUCUGAUUUAUUUUGAAGGUACAACCAACAGGCUUGCUUGACAGGUUGGAGGUGAAGAUGAGAGAAUGGGAGGAGGCAAGGACGACUCCAAAGUUUUUGGCCUGAGCAACUCAUUAGAAAGACUGUGUUAUGGUGUUGAGUUGCUUUUUAAGCAAGGGAGAACUCUAAACUUAGGGAAAAAAGAAAACUAAUGUUGCACUAAUAACGUUGCACUAAUAUAAGACGUAUAUUAGUAUAUCCCAAGUAUUGUAGGCUUGAAAACUUAUUGUAGGGAUUUUGGUGGAGUGCUGGCUGCUAGAUAGGGGCACUCACAUGUUUCUGAUUUCUGGGAUAUAUAAAACAUACACCUAAAGGAGUCUCAGAGAUCCAGUAGACGAGUCAUUUCACACAUUUCAAAUGCCAGGUGGAUGUUCUCGGCCGUAAGCCAGUUAAUGAGGGUUCAACUACUCUGACGUUCACAUUUAAAAAAAGCGGUGGUCCGAUGAUUUCAGCGCAUCUGUCUCUCAGCUGCAGCCAACUGAGCGAUGCCUGGUCCGACGGCUCAGCACUCACCCUCGCUCGCCCGGGAGCGUCCGCGGCCCCACUGCGAGCGCAGGCACCGCCCCACCGCUUGGUCCGGGAAGGGGGCGCGAGCCGCCGCCGCCUGCUGCCCGGCGGAGGCGGGGAGGGGCUCCUGCGCGCUCCCCCUCAGCCCCGGUCGCCAUCUUCCGGCGCGUCCUUUCCCGCGCGGGCUCCUGCCCCGGCUCUAGGCUCUCCGCUCGCCUCGGAGAGGCUUCCCGGCCGGCACGGCUCUAGCGCGCGGCGCGGCGCGGGGCUCCAGGGCAGAGCCCACCCGGAGGCGGGGCCGGGGGCGGGGCCGGCGCGGCGGCGCGGCCCUCCCGCCGCUCCCGGAGAGCGCGCCGCCCCUCGCCCCGCCCGCGCGCGAGCCUGGGCGGGGAGGGCGGGGCCAGGAAGCGGCGAGCGCGCCGGGGAGCGCAGCUGCGGGAGUGGGGGCGGCAGGAGCCGCGGAGCCGGCGCCGAGGGCGGCAGCGGCCGGAGCAGGCGGCCGAGACAAAGGCGACGAAAAGGCGCCGGCGGAUUGACCGAAGUAUGAUUGGAGAGCCAACCAACUUUGUACAUACUGCUCACGUGGGAUCCGGAGAUCUGUUCAGCGGAAUGAAUUCAGUUAGCUCCAUUCAGAACCAGAUGCAGUCCAAGGGCGGCUACGGGGGCGGGAUGUCUGCUGCCAACGUGCAGAUGCAGCUUGUGGACACGAAGGCAGGAUAGCCCCCGGGUCCCUUCUCUGAGAAGUGUGACGGCGUCUUGUUCACCCCGUUGUGAUUACUCCAGUGAGACAUUUCUGUUCUGCUCCGAAGCAGCUAUUGCCAGGCGACUCCUGCGUUUUCCUCAGCUGGCGUGCAUGCCUUUGGACUCAUGGACAGAGUUCUUUGGAUUGCGGCAUAGUUUUCAAUUUUUAUCACUAUGGAUCUGAUCUUAGCAUGAUCUUUUUGUGAAUGCAGCACUAUUAUUUUUUCGUUUCUCCUUCCACCUCCAACCCUCUGCCUUAUGAUUUUCUUGGUAAGCAAGGACCUGCUAUUGUGUUAAUUUGUCACCGUUUAUGUAUAUUUGGAAGGUAUGAGACCCACAAGCACAAUGAUCAUUUUUAUUCAUUUGAAACUUCAAGCAGAGUAGAUAUCUGCAUGCUUUAUGAAGUUGCUUCGUGUGGGAGCCCAUGGGAUGCAGGAGUGAGCGUUUCUUUGCUGCCGUGGGUUGACGAUACUGCUGCUAUUAGAGAAGGGUUAGCUGUGGCACCAAGUCACAUCAGUUCUACAGAAAGCUAACUGGUAGCUUAUUUUAGAAGUAUAACUUUUUCAUCUAUUACAAUAAAAGAAAAGCUUGCGUUCAUAAGGCCUUCAUUCUGUUGUAAAUGUUCAGUAUAUUUAUUUUGAGAGCAAGGACCUGUGAUUAUAAACAGGUAUGGUAUGUAUCUGAGUGUUGCGGUGAUACGCUCAUCCAGUCUGAUUCUGAGCAUCAUCAUCUUAGUAACUGUUCGUUUCUUUGUGUACUCAUUCUAUUUUUACUUGUUUUUAUUUUGUGUUUAACAUUAUGGUAUCCAGUUGUUUCCAGUAACAGUUUGUUGAACUUCUGGCCUGUACUACUAACUGCAGACUCCAGAGUCCUUGGGCUGUCCAUAUUCUACAUAUUUUGGGGCAAUGGAAGUUGCCAAGAGCAACACACUGACCUGGCUGAAUCGUUGCCAGGGAAAAUAACCUGUAUCGUGACUUUUUAUGGUAUUGAUAAGAAACCUUUGCUCAGGUUCCAAAAUAUGUUUAUUCUUCACAAACUGUGUGUAUUUCAGAUAUUUCUGUAAAUGCUUCUCCUUCCCCUAAGGGUCUAGUGUUAAGCCAGUUAGUGGUCUGUAUUCUCAUGGAAAGGUUUCAAUCUUAUUUCCAAUUCAGUCCUGUCUAACUAUAUUCGGUAGAAUUAACAUUUCAUGUAGCAGAUGGGGCUUAAUUGAAAACUUACUUAGAGAACUAUAAGGAAUUAGGUAAUUGAAUAAAGAAAUUUUCUCUUCUUUUACCCCUUUCCCCUGACCUUAGUCCCAGGUUCUUGUGAGAAAGGUAACUGAAUAAAUAUUAGGUUUAUGCGGGCAAAACAUAAAAGCAUUUCCCCCCUAAUUCUUUUGAAUUUAAUUUCAUUUACCCGGUAGGGUGGUGCACUAGAUUGCUCAAUCCUUGUAUUUCUGCAAUGUUGAGCCUUCCUGGGUGUCAAUCCUGAACAGACACAUAAUCUGUCAAGGAGAAAUAUUUAUGCUUAGUAAUCAAAAUAGGCAAUAACUUCUAAAAUUUAAUUCAUCUAGUGUCAUUAAUUCACUGUGUGGAUAUUGGACUCUGGAAUUUGCCUGAGUACAUUGUCAUUCUGCUCAGCCAGAGUCAGUGCUCCUCAAAAGACAGAUUGGAUUUUCUAGGCAUUGUCAGCACUGAUGCUCUUUAGUCUACUUCUAUUUUGACUUUUAAAAUUAGUACAAGUUUUAUACUUGUCAUAUAACUCCUAGAACAAUAGGUCCCUUUUCCCCAACUCAUGAUUUGAUUUUAUUCUUUUUUUCCAAUCACUGUCUUUUCUGCUUCUACCAAGGACCAAAUACUCCAGUGAGCUGCUGGAGCAUCUCUCCAUGGUAAGCCAAAGGCUGCCCUGUGCAGCCACCACUGACCUCACAGUAGCCACACUGUGUACACAGCACAUGCCAAGGGAGGUGCCAAGAAAUUCAAGAAAUAAGAAAAUUACAAAAAUCCUAAGAUAGUAACCUUGGACACACGUCUUUUAGGGAGUGUGAAGCAUUCAUAAGUGGGACUCUAAAUCUCGAGAGGUCAUUUGUUCCCCAUAGCAAUGUAUCUCAUUUUAAAAUUGAAGCUAAUUAAAUAAAUAGGAUUGACGGUUAAUACUUUGUUGACAUACAUGCUGACCACUGUUAAGCAAGGGAAACUGAGUGAAGGUUUAAAGUAAGGACAUGGAUUCUGUCUUCAGUGAUAAAAGAGGUGCUUUCCCAUGGUGGGGGCAUGAAGUGGUGCCAAUAACCAUCGAGCGGAAAUGUCAGCUGUGGUGACUGGGUUUAGCAUUUCCAAUGCAGCAUUAUCAGUGGGCCUUUAAAGAUACUUUGGGAGGAUAUUAGCUUUCACUUUUGUUAUUAAAUUAUAGCAGUUUCAUUAUGGAGAGCAAGUUUGCCUUGAUUUUGUUUAAAAUGACGUCUGCUCAGCACCCAGAAGAUAAAUUGACAUAUUUUUAUAAUAUAAGCAUACUUUUUUUGUACAUUGUGUUCAUUCUUGAAUAAAGUAAAUUCAGUGUUGGCUUGUAGAUAUUAAAAAGAAAAUAUUGAUUUUGAUUCAAUAAAUGUUUUCUUUGAAUCCUG
Equus caballus (horse) is the source of this 4594-nucleotide RNA transcript. It is a transcript of the gene named CDC42 small effector 2, with no coding region annotated. NCBI's taxonomy places the organism in Eukaryota, Metazoa, Chordata, Mammalia, Perissodactyla, Equidae. The record is from RefSeq and is marked validated.